CAAGUCGAACGAUGAAACCGCCCUCGGGCGGACAUGAAGUGGCGAACGGGUGAGUAACACGUGACCAACCUGCCCCUUGCUCCGGGACAACCUUGGGAAACCGAGGCUAAUACCGGAUACUCCUCGCCCCCCUCCCUGGGGGGGCCCGGGGAAAGCCCAGACGGCAAGGGAUGGGGUCGCGGCCCAUUAGGUAGUAGGCGGGGUAACGGCCCACCUAGCCCGCGAUGGGUAGCCGGGUUGAGAGACCGACCGGCCACAUUGGGACUGAGAUACGGCCCAGACUCCUACGGGAGGCAGCAUG
Molecule: ribosomal RNA, 301 nt
Filed under: uncultured bacterium
Lineage: Bacteria
Description: bacterial SSU rRNA
Rfam family: Bacterial small subunit ribosomal RNA
Source: RNAcentral